Molecule: ribosomal RNA, 253 nt
Filed under: uncultured bacterium
Lineage: Bacteria
Description: partial 16S ribosomal RNA
Rfam family: Bacterial small subunit ribosomal RNA
Source: RNAcentral
UACGGAGGGGGCUAGCGUUGUUCGGAAUUACUGGGCGUAAAGCGCACGUAGGCGGACUGGAAAGUCAGAGGUGAAAUCCCAGGGCUCAACCUUGGAACUGACUUUGAAACUCCCGGUCUUGAGGUCGAGAGAGGUGAGUGGAAUUCCGAGUGUAGAGGUGAAAUUCGUAGAUAUUCGGAGGAACAUCAGUGGCGAAGGCGGAUCCCUGGCUCGAUACUGACGCUGAGGUGCGAAAGCGUGGGGAGCAAACAGG